ACUUGCGGAUCCUGCUCCCCUUCCCACUUCUGCACUUGGGGGUCUAAUGAGGCCUCAGUGGAACAUAGAAUUCCUCCCGCCCUGACAUCAUAGCUCCCGCCUGGGAGGCCUCCUGGAUGACUCCUUUCGCCUCCUCCCUUCCCUGAGAGCAGCCCCUGGCUCAACCUCCACCUCCGUGCUGCCUCGGACCACCUGCCCAGUCGAGCUGCCAUCACCUGCCAGGAGGUGUCAACUCCACGGUUGGUUUGCUUCUGUGCCCACCGACAGCCUCCCCUAGAGCACAGUGCCUGUUUGCUGCCCUGUAGGCUGUGAGCACUCACUCUAGUUGAGCCCCUGAGGGGCAGGGGCAAGGGCAGAGGAGAUGGAGUCCAGGAGCUGCAGGUGCAGUCACCUUCCCAUGUACCUCCCACACAUGCAGCUGUGAGAACCACACGGCAUAAAGGGUGGCUGGGCCAGGCCACCCCACGCGUCCUCAUCACCCCUGGGCCUUUCCAAGGAGAUGGCUCCAGGUGUCCAGCAAACACCAUUUGACUGCCCAGAAAGGAAGUAUUAUCAUAGGCUCAGAGCAGCUUUUGGUAAUUUCUUUCCUCUCACACCAAGGCAUUGUGUGCGCACGUGUGUGUGUGUGUGUGUGUGUGUGUGUGUUUUAAUUUUUAUUUUAGAGACAGGGUUUUGCUGUGUUGCUCAGGCUUGUCUUGAACUUCUGGGCUCGUGUGCUGCGAUUACAGGGUGAGCCACUGCGCCUGAUCAAGGCAUCACCGUUGAACCUCCUAAGAGGAAAACAUAAGGCUGUGCAAUACCAGGAACUGGGAUUCUAGGUUGCCCCAGACACCAAGGCAUCAAAAGCCAGGGGAUCCAGAGAAAACACAGACAGCCAAGAGAGAAACUGCGGGAAAAAGCCAAAAGGUUGAGAGCCACACCAUCUAGAAGCUUCCUGCCUGUGGUGCGGCACAGAAACAAGGAGAGUCAGCAAUUACCAGCCAGCCAAGGUCCUGGAAGCUGACGUAGAGCUCGUGCCGACGGCAGACCUGCCGGCCGUGGGAGCCGCGGACGUCAUCUGCAGGGACAGAAGGGGCAAGGUCUUUUCUGGGGUUCCUGCUGUGUGCAGCUACUAUGGGGUACCAGGGUGGGGGAUGCCCUGAUGAGCACAUUUGUCAAAUAAAUGAAUGACAGGAAACCAUUUGGUCUCAUAAAGCCCAUCCCUGGAACGCUGCUUGUACCAUGACCCAGCUCAAAAGCCUGCCAUGGCUCCCAAUGGCUAGAGUGACACUGUGCCCAGUCCUCCCCUGUCCUUCAGCCUAUGAGCGUCUUUAUGCUCCAGUAAACAGCCCAGCAGGACCCUCGGCCAUCCUGUGCCUCCUCCUCUCUGGAGACCCCUGUGACUCCAGCCCACCCUCUCCUGCCACACCCAUUCCCGAGGUUCAAGUGGCUCACGACCAGGCCAGUCAAGGGCCGACUCCCUGGUGAAGGAGGGCACGGGGUUGGGUCAGGCCUGUCCCUGAUCCUGAAGGGCUUGGCCCAGUUGGGGAGAAAACUCGCAUAAGCAACCGAGGAUCCCACAGGGUGCCCAGGCACAACCGCAGGUCAUGAGGGGCUGCGGCUCCCAGGGAAGGGGCAGCUGAUUCUGAAGGAGGCUCCUGAGAAAGACCCGGAGGAGCCAGGGGGAGAGAGGGAGACUUCUGGGCAGCAGGGACAGCCAGGACAGGCCUCCGGAGUGCCGGUCACCAGGGUGCAUCAGGGCCAAGAUGGUGUCAGGAAAGGUGGCUGGAGAGUGGCCGUCAGCUUGAACCGACCUGAGCCUGAGGGCUCUGGGCCACCACUUGGUUCUCGCCCUGCCUCUCU
RNAcentral lists this long non-coding RNA (1842 nucleotides) under Homo sapiens (human). RNAcentral describes it as "HSALNT0005302". Lineage: Eukaryota; Metazoa; Chordata; Mammalia; Primates; Hominidae. The record is from RNAcentral.